Non-coding RNA from Euryarchaeota archaeon RBG_19FT_COMBO_69_17, 73 nucleotides. The record is from Rfam. NCBI's taxonomy places the organism in Archaea, Methanobacteriati, Methanobacteriota.
GGGCUCGUGGUCUAGUGGUCAUGACGUCACCCUGACACGGUGAAGGUCACCGGUUCGAAUCCGGUCGAGCCCA